Molecule: ribosomal RNA, 820 nt
Filed under: Lactiplantibacillus pentosus
Lineage: Bacteria; Bacillati; Bacillota; Bacilli; Lactobacillales; Lactobacillaceae
Description: bacterial SSU rRNA
Rfam family: Bacterial small subunit ribosomal RNA
Source: RNAcentral
GAGUGAGUGGCGAACUGGUGAGUAACACGUGGGAAACCUGCCCAGAAGCGGGGGAUAACACCUGGAAACAGAUGCUAAUACCGCAUAACAACUUGGACCGCAUGGUCCGAGUUUGAAAGAUGGCUUCGGCUAUCACUUUUGGAUGGUCCCGCGGCGUAUUAGCUAGAUGGUGGGGUAACGGCUCACCAUGGCAAUGAUACGUAGCCGACCUGAGAGGGUAAUCGGCCACAUUGGGACUGAGACACGGCCCAAACUCCUACGGGAGGCAGCAGUAGGGAAUCUUCCACAAUGGACGAAAGUCUGAUGGAGCAACGCCGCGUGAGUGAAGAAGGGUUUCGGCUCGUAAAACUCUGUUGUUAAAGAAGAACAUAUCUGAGAGUAACUGUUCAGGUAUUGACGGUAUUUAACCAGAAAGCCACGGCUAACUACGUGCCAGCAGCCGCGGUAAUACGUAGGUGGCAAGCGUUGUCCGGAUUUAUUGGGCGUAAAGCGAGCGCAGGCGGUUUUUUAAGUCUGAUGUGAAAGCCUUCGGCUCAACCGAAGAAGUGCAUCGGAAACUGGGAAACUUGAGUGCAGAAGAGGACAGUGGAACUCCAUGUGUAGCGGUGAAAUGCGUAGAUAUAUGGAAGAACACCAGUGGCGAAGGCGGCUGUCUGGUCUGUAACUGACGCUGAAGGCUCGAAAGUAUGGGUAGCAAACAGGAUUAGAUACCCUGGUAGUCCAUACCGUAAACGAUGAAUGCUAAGUGUUGGAAGGGUUUCGCCCUUCAGUGCUGCAGCUAACGCAUUAAGCAUUCCGCCUGGGGGAGUACGGCCGCAAG